GACGAACCGUGCGAACGUUGUUCGGAAUCACUGGGCUUAAAGGGUGCGUAGGCGGCGCGGUAAGUCGGGUGUGAAAUCUCGGAGCUUAACUCCGAAACUGCAUUCGAUACUGCCGUGCUUGAGGACUGGAGAGGAGACUGGAAUUUACGGUGUAGCGGUGAAAUGCGUAGAUAUCGUAAGGAAGACCAGUGGCGAAGGCGGGUCUCUGGACAGUUCCUGACGCUGAGGCACGAAGGUCAGGGGAGCAAACGGG
This 253-nucleotide ribosomal RNA is filed under the name uncultured bacterium. Its description in RNAcentral is "partial 16S ribosomal RNA". It matches the Rfam family "Bacterial small subunit ribosomal RNA", at positions 524 to 776 of the family's 1533-position model. The record is from RNAcentral.